GACGAACGCUGGCGGCGUGCUUAACACAUGCAAGUCGAACGGAAAGGCCCUGCUUUUGUUGGGUGCUCGAGUGGCGAACGGGUGAGUAACACGUGAGUAACCUGCCCUUGACUUUGGGAUAACUUCAGGAAACUGGGGCUAAUACCGGAUAGGAGCUCCUGCUGCAUGGUGGGGGUUGGAAAGUUUCGGCGGUUGGGGAUGGACUCGCGGCUUAUCCGCUUGUUGGUGGGGUAGUGGCUUACCAAGGCUUUGACGGGUAGCCGGCCUGAGAGGGUGACCGGCCACAUUGGGACUGAGAUACGGACCAGACUCCUACGGGAGGCAGCAGUGGGGAAUAUUGCACAAUGGGCGGAAGCCUGAUGCAGCAACGCCGCGUGCGGGAUGACGGCCUUCGGGUUGUAAACCGCUUUCGCCUGUGACGAAGCGUGAGUGACGGUAAUGGGUAAAGAAGCACCGGCUAACUACGUG
This 468-nucleotide ribosomal RNA is filed under the name uncultured bacterium. RNAcentral describes it as "partial 16S ribosomal RNA". It matches the Rfam family "Bacterial small subunit ribosomal RNA", at positions 28 to 507 of the family's 1533-position model. The record is from RNAcentral.